GUGUUUUUUUGUUUGCAGAAAAUGUCUAAAACUAACAUUAAGAAUCAGAAAAAGUUGAAGAAUCCUCAAACUGCUGGAAAAAGAAGUUUUGCUUGAGUUCGCUCUAAGUUGGAAAACAACGAGGAAACUUUGGAUCCUUUAUCAGCAAAGAAAGUCUUUGUAGCUACAAGAAAAAGAAAAGCUGACGAUCAUAGAAGUCCUCGGAUGAAGAUACAACUAGUAAAAUUGCCGAAAUGGAGGAAAUUAAAGAACAACAAAACGAAAAUGGCAAUGAGUCCGUAGAGGCAUUUGCAUCUGUCAUGGGACAUGAAAAUCCGGGACGUCUGAGAUUGUAUGGGCGGGAGGUUACAAGAACUUCUUUGAGAGAGAAUGUAGGAUGUUUUUUACCCUCUUCAAAUGAUUCAUUGGGAGAAGCUUCAUCUGUUCAGCAAACAACAUUGCAACAAAUCCGUCGUCCAUCUACUAGAACCAACAUAGAAGACCAAUUCAUUCCAGGUAUUAAAUCAUUGAUAAUUUAAUAAUUUUUGUGAGAUCUACUGUCUUAGGUUGGUACUUCAUAUGUUGCACUUAAUUAUUUAAAUGAGGUUGCGACUGGAGUAACUGUUACUUGAGCAGGUUGAAUAAUUUAGUUGUGAUGUUGUUUUGUGAUGUAAUAGUGUUCGAAGAUGUUAAGGUAGAUUGUUGCUUAAAAAAUAAUAGUUAGGAGAGUUGUUUGAUAUGGUUUGUCUAUCGUUGAUUCUGGUUUGUUGUA
Nicotiana tabacum (common tobacco) is the source of this 751-nucleotide long non-coding RNA. RefSeq lists it as uncharacterized. The record is from RefSeq and is a predicted model, not a curated record. NCBI's taxonomy places the organism in Eukaryota, Viridiplantae, Streptophyta, Magnoliopsida, Solanales, Solanaceae.